Molecule: long non-coding RNA, 5828 nt
Organism: Populus nigra (black poplar)
Lineage: Eukaryota; Viridiplantae; Streptophyta; Magnoliopsida; Malpighiales; Salicaceae
Exons: 3
Source: RefSeq, a predicted model, not a curated record
CCAAUUUUUUUCUGUUCUGCUUUUAUUUUAUGCAUAUUGAAUGCUCAUCUUUAUAUAUGAAUGUGUGUUUAUUAUUUCAAUCCUUUUAUUUACAAAUGAAAUUGAAUUGCUUUGUGGAAACCUGGUUCUAAAAACAGAAGUUCAUAAAUAUGUGGAGACCAUUUAGGAGGAUUGUCUUGCAUCUCAUCUUGUUUUCUCUGUUGAUUGUUUUGUGUCUCCAAUUCCUCUAAUUUUCUUGGCGUUCAAAGUCAACCAUGAGUUCUUGAGUUCUCACACUAUCAGAUCGCACCCCAACUAGCAAUUACUACAUGACUUACAUAAGCGUCCUAGCAGGUUGUCUUUUUUUUUUUGCCCUUCACUUUCCUCUCUAUCUUGGAUUUGUUAAACUGUUUUAUGUUGAUGCUAGUUUUAGUGCUUAUUUUGAUCAUGUAUGCCCCUACAGUCUUGCUCCCAAUUGUGGUUAGGAUCUACUUCCCAAAUAUCCUCUAUUUGCUGCAAGUUUUUAUUAUGUGUUUCCCUCUUUUAGAACAGUCAUGGUAAUGGAAACAAAUCGAACCCUAUUAUUGUCAUGCACACUAUAUAUGGAUAUAUAUAUUUUGCCCUAGUAUGAGCGCUGACCUCCCUUGGCUAUCGACCAUGAUGAAUUCUAUACCCGAGAAACCCCUAGAUAUGUGGAGAGAUGUUGGGCAGCCAUUAAAGGACUACAAUGGAAGAAUCUCUUUUAGGGAUAAAGUAAUAGAACCCCCCCUCCCUGAGAUUUUGAUCGUGCAGAUCUUCUCGAGAGGAAUUUGGUGUGGAUCGAGUUUGAGAAUGGCAAUAGGUUUUUGCCUAAGGUAUUUAUAGAAGAUGGUCUUUUCAAUGAUCUCUGCCUUCCAUGGCAAGAUUCACUUGUCAUCAAGCUUCUUGGCAAAGAGAUUGGAUUUUAUCAGUUGAACACAAGAUUAAGAAAUUUAUGGAAGUCGACGGGUGGUUUUGAACUGAUGGACGUUGUCAAUGGCUUCUUUAAGUUUGAUCUUGAAGAGGAUAAAGAGAAAGUUAUCAAUGAAGGCCCUAGGAUGGUGUUUGAUCAUUACUAAGCUGUUAAUCAUUGGUCGGCGGAUUUUGUAUCAUCAUCUGCUAAAUUAAAUCGUACAAUGGUUUGGAUUUGUAUCCCUAGUUUAAACCUAGUAUUUUAUGAUGAGAAUCUCUUGAUGGCCAUGGCAUUAGCCAUUGGUAAGCCCAUUAGGGUAGAUAUGCAUACCUGCAAUGUAGAGAGAUAAAUUUGCAAGAGUUUGUGUUGAGAUUAAGCUCAAUAAACUAGUGGUGGGUAGAAUUUGGAUUAAAGAUUACUGGUAUAAUGUUGAGUACGAAGGACUUCACAUAACAUGUGGGAAGUGUGGAUGCUAUGGCCACCAUGACAGUGAUUGCAAGCUAGUCAAGGAGACCGGACCCACCAUGGUUGAGUCAAAUGCUGCUACUUAAGUGGAGGUGGUGGCCGAGGAAUCAUGCAAGGUGAUGGAAGCCAUGACAGAAUCUAAUCCCAUGAAAGACACGCAAUUGUUCCCGUUACACAUGGUGACUGGUUGGCAGUUACAAGGAAAAAAAAAUCGUGAAUUGAUCACAAAGCUAAGAAUAAGGGGAUUGGUUAUGGAAACGUACACAAUAGAUUUACUGCUUUUAAUAGAGCAGUUGACGUGUAUCCUAAAAUCUUGGAAGUAGCUAGACCAAAAGUUUCAUGUUGGGGAGGGUAAGGGCUCGAAUCCUACUAGAUAUGUGUGGGCUUAGCAGAAAAGGAGAUUUAGGCGAGAUGAACCCACUUUAAUCCACCCCAAGCCUGUUAAUGAUAUUUCUACAUCGAGAAUUAAUAAGGGAGUGCUUGUGGGAGCCCACAACCAUGUUUCCAAGGAGGGGUCGCGAAGAGACAUAAGUAAACCGAUUGUUUUUUCUGCUGGAGGGUAGGGGUGAGCAAAAAAAUCAAAAAAUUGAUUAAACCGAGAAAACCGGAAAAAAAAUAACCGAAAAAAUCAAAUCGUGAAAAAAAACCGAUUAAAUCGAUUAAAAUUUUGAAAAAACUGACCGGUUUGGUUCGGUUUUAUAAGUCUGAAACCGAAAAAACCGAACCGAAUGCAAACCGAAAUAAAACCAAGCCAAACCGGAAAAAAACCGAGUCAAACCGGUUUGAAUCGGUUUUUGUCCUAAAAAACCGAACCGAAACCGGUUGGUUUGAACUGGUUUUGGUUUUUUUUUUUUUUUUAAGUUUUGGUUUGGUUACUUUUUUUUUUUAUAAAAACCGAACCGAACUGAAAAUGAUCACCCCUACCGGAGGGUCUGAUGACGGUAUGACGGGGAGUAUCAAAGGCAAGUAAAUAAUGCAGCACGUGGAAGGGAAUUUGAGUCCAGGUUUUAUUUUAACUUCGAUAGGUGUCAAUGCUCAUACUUCGGCCUUUGUUUUGAAAGACACUCCUCCUGACCUAGAGGUAUUGAGCUUUCUUUUGUUACCCGAACUUCAGAAGGAACUAUGCCAAGGGUUGAGGGCAUGGCUAUGUCCAUUAAUUGUUAAGGUGAUCAGGGGUUUAAUGAGGGGAUGGCUAUUCAGAUGGAUGGUGGGCAGUAACUAUUUUGCUAUACUUUUGCUACUUAUUAUCUAUCUUUUUAUUAUGAAUAUGUUUACAGAUUUUUCUAUAAUCUCAUGGAAUGUUCGUGGUGGUGCUAAAAAGAUAAGAAAACGCCACUGCAAAGAAUUGGUAAGGUAUAGUCCUCCUUUGUUUGUCUUGUUGGAAACGCAUGCCAAUUUUUUGAAGGUCAAGAAUUUUUGGUACAGUAUUAGUUAUACUCCAGUGGCUGUUUCUGAAGCCCAAGGACAUGUCAGUGGCAUAUGGAUUAUAUCUUUUGUUAGCUUGGUCUCCUUUUCAACCUUGGAUAUCACUAGGCAAUGUGUUACCGUUCAGAUUUUUAUGGGAAGCAACUCCUAGUUCUUAUCGGCAGUCUAUGCCUCGCCCAUUCCUAGAGUUCGACUUCAAUGAAACAUCUUCUCAUUCCGAAACUUGAGGAGGUCUCUUCUCCUGUGCCAGGGCUUCACGUUUCUUACAGAUGAUGUCAGAUUGUGAGGUUUCAAAUUUGGGCCACCAGGGCCCUAAUUUUACUUGGCACAAACAUAUUCAUGGGGUUCAUUACUUAGCAAAACGGCUUGACAAAGCACUGGCUUCUUUGGAUUGGCAAACUAGUUUUCCUGAAGCUUAUGUUGAAACUUUUUGCAGAAUUCACUCUGAUCACAACCUGAUUAUUCUACCGUGGGGGAUCGCUAGACUGACUUGUGAAAGAUCUUUUAGGUUUGAGGCAGCCUGGACUACCCUUUCAGAUUAUCAGGAUAUUGUUUGUAGUGCUUAGGAUAGAGGUUGCCAUAAUGUCCUGAAGGGGCUUCAGGAGGUUUGGUAGGAUUCUAUUUCUUUCAAUCAACACACUUUUGGGAAUAUUUUCCACAGAAAAAGAUAGCUUGAAGCUCGGAUUAAUGGUGUCAAGAGGUGUCUUGAGCACUAUACUGAUGAUUCACUUCUUUCUUUAGAAAAAUCUUUACGUCAUGGUUAUGAAGUUUUAGGUUCCAAAAAUCUAGAGAACAGUGGGUUACUCAUGGUGAUAGGAUAUAUAAAGUUCUUUCAAGCUUAGACAACUAUGCGGAGAAGACGGAACAAGAUUAACGGGCUUUUUCUCUCUGAUGGGACUUGGUGCACUGAUGAUUCUAAACUGCAGGAAGAGGCCAUCUAGUUUUAUAAGAAUUUGUUCUGCCCUAAGGUAACUGUUACUGCUCACUUUAUGGAGUCUGUUCCUUUGCCUAUAUUAUCUCCACAAGGAAUCUCUAAUUUAGAGAAACCAGUUUCUAAAAAGGAUGUUUAUGCAGCUCUAAUGAGUAUGAGAUCUUUUAAAUCUUCGGGGAAGGAUGGCUUCCAAACUGUUUUCUUAAAAAAAAUACUAGAAUGUGGUUGGGGAUGACAUCUGGCAUCUGGUUCAAGCUGCUUUUAUUAAUGGAUGUUUUGAUAAAGAUCUGACUAAUACUUUUAUUGUGUUAAUUCUCGAGGAGAGACCCACAAGUUUGAAGUAGUUUCGCCCUAUUAGCCUUAGUAAUGUAGUUUAUAAACUCAUUACUAAGGUGCUAGUGAACAGGCUGUGACCUUAUUUAGAUGAUUUAAUUGGCCCCCUCCAGAGCAGCUUUAGUUCUACUCGGAGUACUGAUAAUGCCUUUGUUGCUCAAGAAGUAAUGCAUCAUAUGCAUCACUUCAAAAGCAAGCGGGGUACUCUGGCAGCAAAGAUUAAUUCUGGGAAAGUCUAUGAUAGGGUGAUACGGGACUUCUUGUAGUCCAUUCUAGAGGAUUUCGGUUUAACUCCUGGUAUAGCCUCUCUAAUUAUGUUCUGUAUGAGGUCUUCCUCCCUCACUCUCUUAUGGAACGAGUCUAAGCUUCACUCAUUUAUUCCUCCUACUUGUGGCCUUAGGCAAGGAGACCAAUUUCUCCUUAUUUGUUUGUUUUUUGUAUGGAGAAAUUGGCGUGUUUAAUUACGAAGAAAGUUUCAGAGAAGAUUUGGCAUCCUAUCCACCUUUUGAGAGGAGGGCCAGGAAGGUGGCUGGAAUACACAGAAAUAAUACGGCUCAGGUGCCCAAGAUAGCAAAUAUGAGCAAAGAUUGUCAUAAUUGGAAGCCAGUGAAAGAGGAGUUCACAUUCCCUGCAAACUCUGCUCCCUUCAAUAGCUGCAAUGCCUCUACCAUUGUUGCAAUUGUCUAAUUGGGUUAAAUAAUUCUCUUCGAAUUCUUACAGUUUGCCUUCAUCAUCAGUAGUUUAAUGUUUUGCUGAUCUGUGCUUUGUGCGGGUUGAUAAAGAUCACCUUUUGGUUGCUUAUUUUGAAGGUCCAAAAGAGGGAGCACAUGAUGUUCAAAUUUGGAUAGAGACAUACAAAGGCUUUCCAAUCCUGCUGCAUAUCUGCCGAUGGGAUUUCUCCCAAAAGGCCCAAUUGUAGUUCUCCAAGGUGGCCAAAAAAUUAUCAAACAGUUGCUUCCGCAGAGAAAGAUGGAAAUUCUUGAACUCAACUCCAUUCAAAUGCAUCAUAUGAGAAGGAACACGGUCUCGAGAUCUUACGAUCUUCCUUCUGCAAAACCAUUCCAAUUCAUAAAUAACAAGUUCUCCAUCUUUUUUGUUUCUGUUCCCCUACCUAUCACAAGGAUCUUGUCCCACAUAUGUCCCAAGCCAGUGAGCAAUAUUAAAACAUUGUUUCAACACAUGAGACUCUUCCUUCCAGUAGUAAUAAACUGCACUUCCUCCGUAGUUUAAGUGACAUCAAUUAACUCACUGUUGGAUUCAAAAGAUUCAUGUAAACAAAGCAGUUUUAGGAAGAUCCUGGACCAAUCCAUUGAUGCCUUCACUUCUUUUAAGCCCUCUUGACUUGCCUUUCUUUAACUGCUGUGAGUUAUUGAUUCAUUGUCAAAGUUCCUCCUCAUGCUCCUAUUGGAUUUUAAGAUUGUUUAUCUCAUAUGGGUGGGUAUCUGCUGUGCAUGAUGGUUACUGGCAAUCGCCUAUCAUUGUUGACGAACAGCCUGAUGUUCCUAUGUGGAACCCUUUACUGUUCAAACUGUCACCAGAGGAGCUACUUUUGUUAUAUAAAUUCGGUCAAGACAAAAGUAAAACUUCCAAUCUCCAUGGUCUUCCAUUUAACUAUUCCUUUUUGUAGUCAAGUUUUCCCAGAUAGUAUGUAUAUGAGUUUGUUGGUUGUUGGUAAAUUCAUAUGUUUUCAUCUAAUUUCAAGAACACAAAAGGCUAUUCUGUUUCGUAUAUCGCAUGGAAUACAGAAUGCUAUACAUUUUUCAA